Molecule: ribosomal RNA, 253 nt
Filed under: uncultured bacterium
Lineage: Bacteria
Description: partial 16S ribosomal RNA
Rfam family: Bacterial small subunit ribosomal RNA
Source: RNAcentral
UACGGAGGGUGCAAGCGUUAUCCGGAUUUACUGGGUUUAAAGGGUGCGUAGGUGGGCAGGUAAGUCAGUGGUGAAAUCUCCGGGCUUAACUCGGAAACUGCCAUUGAUACUAUUUGUCUUGAAUAUCCUGGAGGUAAGCGGAAUAUGUCAUGUAGCGGUGAAAUGCUUAGAUAUGACAUAGAACACCCAUUGCGAAGGCAGCUUACUACGGGAUCAUUGACACUGAGGCACGAAAGCGUGGGGAGCAAACAGG